AUUUUGGACAAUGGGCGCAAGCCUGAUCCAGCCAUGCCGCGUGAGUGAAGAAGGCCUUCGGGUUGUAAAGCUCUUUCGGUGGGGAAGAAAUGGUUCGUGCUAAUACCACGGACUGAUGACGGUACCUGGGGAAUCAGCCCCGGCUAACUACGUGCCAGCAGCCGCGGUAAUACGUAGGGGGCAAGCGUUGUCCGGAUUUAUUGGGCGUAAAGCGCUCGCAGGUGGUUGGUCGCGUCGUGCGUGAAAGACCCCGGCUCAACUGGGGAGGGUCGUGCGAUACGGGCUAACUGGAGGCCAGUAGGGGGAUGCGGAAUUCCGGGUGUAGUGGUGGAAUGCGUAGAGAUCCGGAAGAACACCAGCGGCGAAGGCGGCAUCCUGGACUGGUCCUGACACUCAGGAGCGAAAGUGUGGGGAGCGAUC
RNAcentral lists this ribosomal RNA (420 nucleotides) under uncultured bacterium. RNAcentral's name for it is "bacterial SSU rRNA". It matches the Rfam family "Bacterial small subunit ribosomal RNA", at positions 361 to 773 of the family's 1533-position model. The record is from RNAcentral.